This 1444-nucleotide ribosomal RNA is filed under the name Salmonella enterica subsp. enterica serovar Kingston. RNAcentral describes it as "partial 23S ribosomal RNA". It matches the Rfam family "Bacterial large subunit ribosomal RNA", at positions 161 to 1547 of the family's 2925-position model. The record is from RNAcentral. Lineage: Bacteria; Pseudomonadati; Pseudomonadota; Gammaproteobacteria; Enterobacterales; Enterobacteriaceae.
AAUCCAUAGGUUAAUGAGGCGAACCGGGGGAACUGAAACAUCUAAGUACCCCGAGGAAAAGAAAUCAACCGAGAUUCCCCCAGUAGCGGCGAGCGAACGGGGAGGAGCCCAGAGCCUGAAUCAGCAUGUGUGUUAGUGGAAGCGUCUGGAAAGGCGCGCGAUACAGGGUGACAGCCCCGUACACAAAAGCGCAUGUGCUGUGAGCUCGAUGAGUAGGGCGGGACACGUGGUAUCCUGUCUGAAUAUGGGGGGACCAUCCUCCAAGGCUAAAUACUCCUGACUGACCGAUAGUGAACCAGUACCGUGAGGGAAAGGCGAAAAGAACCCCGGCGAGGGGAGUGAAAAAGAACCUGAAACCGUGUACGUACAAGCAGUGGGAGCCCCACCACUAAGCCAGUGGUGAACUCCACAUACGCAUCCUUUGCUGAGGAUACGGUUAACGGAGCGAAAGCGACGUUCAACCGCAAAAGAAGCAGAGGGGGCUUAGUGGUGGGGUGACUGCGUACCUUUUGUAUAAUGGGUCAGCGACUUAUAUUCUGUAGCAAGGUUAACCGAAUAGGGGAGCCGGAGGGAAACCGAGUCUUAAUUGGGCGUUAAGUUGCAGGGUAUAGACCCGAAACCCGGUGAUCUAGCCAUGGGCAGGUUGAAGGUUGGGUAACACUAACUGGAGGACCGAACCGACUAAUGUUGAAAAAUUAGCGGAUGACCUGUGGCUGGGGGUGAAAGGCCAAUCAAACCGGGAGAUAGCUGGUUCUCCCCGAAAGCUAUUUAGGUAGCGCCUCGUGAAUUCAUCUCCGGGGGUAGAGCACUGUUUCGGCUAGGGGGCCAUCCCGGCUUACCAACCCGAUGCAAACUGCGAAUACCGGAGAAUGUUAUCACGGGAGACACACGGCGGGUGCUAACGUCCGUCGUGAAGAGGGAAACAACCCAGACCGCCAGCUAAGGUCCCAAAGUCAUGGUUAAGUGGGAAACGAUGUGGGAAGGCCCAGACAGCCAGGAUGUUGGCUUAGAAGCAGCCAUCAUUUAAAGAAAGCGUAAUAGCUCACUGGUCGAGUCGGCCUGCGCGGAAGAUGUAACGGGGCUAAACCAUGCACCGAAGCUGCGGCAGCGACACUGUGUGUUGUUGGGUAGGGGAGCGUUCUGUAAGCCUGUGAAGGUGGCCUGUGAGGGUUGCUGGAGGUAUCAGAAGUGCGAAUGCUGACAUAAGUAACGAUAAAGCGGGUGAAAAGCCCGCUCGCCGGAAGACCAAGGGUUCCUGUCCAACGUUAAUCGGGGCAGGGUGAGUCGACCCCUAAGGCGAGGCCGAAAGGCGUAGUCGAUGGGAAACGGGUUAAUAUUCCCGUACUUGGUGUUACUGCGAAGGGGGGACGGAGAAGGCUAUGUUGGCCGGGCGACGGUUGUCCCGGUUUAAGCGUGUAGGUGUGUGUUCCAGGUAAAUCCGGUU